This 72-nucleotide transfer RNA is filed under the name Archaster typicus. RNAcentral describes it as "tRNA-Ile". It matches the Rfam family "tRNA". From Rfam's summary of the family: Transfer RNA (tRNA) molecules are approximately 80 nucleotides in length. Their secondary structure includes four short double-helical elements and three loops (D, anti-codon, and T loops). The record is from RNAcentral. Lineage: Eukaryota; Metazoa; Echinodermata; Asteroidea; Valvatida; Archasteridae.
GAGCCCGCUCCUUUGGGUAAGGACACUUAGCUGAUAAUUAAGUUGAAGAGGGUUAAAAUCCCUCCGGGUUUU